Molecule: ribosomal RNA, 497 nt
Filed under: uncultured bacterium
Lineage: Bacteria
Description: partial 16S ribosomal RNA
Rfam family: Bacterial small subunit ribosomal RNA
Source: RNAcentral
GAUGAACGCUGGCGGCGUGCCUAAUACAUGCAAGUCGAGCGAACAGAUGAGGAGCUUGCUCCUCUGACGUUAGCGGCGGACGGGUGAGUAACACGUGGAUAACCUACCUAUAAGACUGGGAUAACUUCGGGAAACCGGAGCUAAUACCGGAUAAUAUAUUGAACCGCAUGGUUCAAUAGUGAAAGACGGUUUUGCUGUCACUUAUAGAUGGAUCCGCGCCGCAUUAGCUAGUUGGUAAGGUAACGGCUUACCAAGGCAACGAUGCGUAGCCGACCUGAGAGGGUGAUCGGCCACACUGGAACUGAGACACGGUCCAGACUCCUACGGGAGGCAGCAGUAGGGAAUCUUGCACAAUGGGCGAAAGCCUGACGGAGCAACGCCGCGUGAGUGAUGAAGGUCUUCGGAUCGUAAAACUCUGUUAUUAGGGAAGAACAAAUGUGUAAGUAACUAUGCACGUCUUGACGGUACCUAAUCAGAAAGCCACGGCUAACUUCGUG